Molecule: long non-coding RNA, 1110 nt
Filed under: Marmota monax (woodchuck)
Lineage: Eukaryota; Metazoa; Chordata; Mammalia; Rodentia; Sciuridae
Source: RNAcentral
GGAGGCAUGAGCCACUGAGCCACCAGCUCUGAGGUGACAUGGAAAGGGGAAGGAAUGCCAUUGGUGGUCCUUAUUGUGGGCCAGUCAAGAGGGUGUUCUAGCAGGUUCCAAGAAGCCUACUGGUAGGAGUCUGCAGGCAAUGAGGAAAGAGCCAGGCUUCCCCAGGAGCCAAGCCUGGGUUUGAAUCAUCUCUCUGCGAUUUCCUGCUCUUCGGCUUAAGUCACGCGGCUCCGAGCCUGUUUGCUCUUCUGUAAGGUGGUGGGAAUAGCUGCACUGUGUAGGGGGGUGGCAAGGAGCACCGCACCUCGAGAUAAGGUGGCCGCUGAGCUUGGCUACAGAAUCCAUAAGUGACUGUUGCCGAUUCCUUCCCCACAGUACAGCACUGGGGGCAUGCCAAGAUGGAGAGCCGGGUGGAAUGGCAAGAAUCGUGGGGCUUGGGAAACAGAUGACCCAGUCACCAAGGGCAGUUGCAGGUUCCCAGCCAAACCCUGCACAUGAGCUGGGGCUUCGUCAGCAACAAAAGAACAAUACCCUUCCUAAAGGGCCAGGCCGCGGCGUGAGCCUCCCUCCCCCAAUUCCCAGUUCCCACCACUGGGCAGCCCCAGUGCCCUUCCACCCACAGGCCCCUUCAGGACAGCUCCAGGGCCCAUGGCGCCCUCUACUUGAGUGAGUGGUCACUGUACCCUCUGAAGAUGGACGCUCCCGCUGGGAGAUUUCAUUCUGUUCAGCUGCCAACACCAUCUCCGCCCUUGCUAUUGCUUCUGGAAGAUUAUUCUUAAAGAGGGGAAAGAGAAGGAGAAGGAACUUCAAAGACUCUUGCAUCCCCCACCUCCCUGACUUCCACGGGUUGAAGUGCAUCUCUCAGGCCCCGGCUGUGGCCAGGCCAAGGGCGGCUGGAAUCCAGCCCAGCUUUUACCAAUAAUUUGCUGUGUGACCUUAAGUACCCUCUCUGGGCUUUCUUGCUUUCAUUUGUAAAGAGAGGGGUUUUCAGACCACCUCUGAAGUCUCAUCAUGCCCUCUAAGUGAUGCACUCAUUGAUUCUUGGGUUCAUGCAUGCCUCUUAUCCCUUCCUCACGGUUUGUUUACUGUCUGUCCUUAUUCCACUCCAGA